CGGCUGUUACCGCGGACAUCCCGCGUAACAAAAGCCGGGUUCAUCGGUAACGAUAACCCG
This 60-nucleotide small RNA is filed under the name Pseudomonas delhiensis. RNAcentral describes it as "Pseudomonas sRNA P36". It matches the Rfam family "Pseudomonas sRNA P36". The record is from RNAcentral. Lineage: Bacteria; Pseudomonadati; Pseudomonadota; Gammaproteobacteria; Pseudomonadales; Pseudomonadaceae.